Molecule: ribosomal RNA, 277 nt
Filed under: uncultured bacterium
Lineage: Bacteria
Description: partial 16S ribosomal RNA
Rfam family: Bacterial small subunit ribosomal RNA
Source: RNAcentral
AUUGAACGCUGGCGGCAUGCCUUACACAUGCAAGUCGAACGGUAACGCGGGGGCAACCCUGGCGACGAGUGGCGAACGGGUGAGCAACACAUCGGAACGUAUCCUUUGAGUGGGGGAUAGCUCGGCGAAAGCCGGAUUAAUACCGCAUACGCUCUUUGGAGGAAAGCGGGGGACCUUCGGGCCUCGCGCUUAAGGAGCGGCCGAUGUCGGAUUAGCUAGUUGGUGGGGUAAAGGCCCACCAAGGCGACGAUCCGUAGCGGGUCUGAGAGGACGGCCC